CCUACGGGUGGCAGCAGUGAGGAAUAUUGGUCAAUGGCCGGAAGGCUGAACCAGCGAAGUCGCGUGAGGGACGACUGCCCUAUGGGUUGUAAACCUCUUUUAUAUGGGAAGAAUAAAUGCUACGUGUAGCAUGAUGCCUGUACCUUAUGAAUAAGCAUCGGCUAACUCCGUGCCGGCAGCCGUGGUAAUACGGAGGAUGCGAGCGUUGUCCGGAUUUAUUGGGUUUAAAGGGUGCGUGGGCGGUUUUGUAAGUUAGUGGUUAAACGUCGGGGCUUCACCUUGAUUUGCCAUUAAUACUGUAAGACUCGAGUUCAGACGAGGUAGGCGGAAUAAGUGAAGUAGCAGUGAAAUGCUUAGAUAUAACUUAGAACUCCGAUAGCGAAGGCAGGUUACCAGACUUCGACUGACGCUGAGGCACGAGGGCGUGGGUAGCGAACAGGAUUAGAUACCCGAGUAGUC
Molecule: ribosomal RNA, 459 nt
Filed under: uncultured bacterium
Lineage: Bacteria
Description: partial 16S ribosomal RNA
Rfam family: Bacterial small subunit ribosomal RNA
Source: RNAcentral